AUGUUUAUGGAAUGGACUUUUUUGAGGUCACAAAGCGUGUGGAGAAGCAAGCCACGACUUGGUCAUGUCAUUCCACACCCCGUUCUCUUUGUGCUGACUCACAUGGCCCAUGUUGCUUUGCCUAUCAAAUCACAGAAGAUGAGGAUGACAGAGUCCUCAGGGGUCAUUGUCCCUAUUCUGGACGAAGCUGCUCUUUCUGGUGUCUGCUGCUGUUUGGUCUUCUGUUCCAGAUUGUCACUGUUGCCAGAAAACAAAUGCCCCUCAACUCCAGAAAACGUGUGUGUAUGGACACGACUGUUGGUGCCGGAACCACCUCCAUCCAAACCACCCCAGUCUUCCUUCUCAGUACUCAAGACUGCUUCUGAAACGAUCUCCCCCGCCCUCCAAGGGAUGUUACCACCUCUUCAUCCUGUCCCUGCCGCCUAAAUCGACCUGCCAUCCAUCGCUGAGCAGUUUCCCAGACUCAUACUUGGUUUCAAGGUCCUUUGUUAGUUUUCUCCUGGUAAGUGACUGCAUCAUCUCUCUCUGUCAAGAAAUGGUUCACUGACUCCAGCUGAAACAAUUUGGUCUUGAUUUCUUUAUCGAUUCCUUCCUUUCCCGAGUCCAUAUUUUAUACUAACUGUUUUUAAUGUUUCAAACGGGAUCAGCUGUCAAAAGGGUGCCCAGAGUACAGCUGGUAUGGCCUAUGGAGAUGAGAGAAUCCAUUAAAAGAGAUAUUAGA
RNAcentral lists this long non-coding RNA (721 nucleotides) under Ovis aries (sheep). RNAcentral's name for it is "lncRNA (ENSOARG00000025462.1)". The record is from RNAcentral. Lineage: Eukaryota; Metazoa; Chordata; Mammalia; Artiodactyla; Bovidae.